GGGGAAUAUUGCACAAUGGGGGGAACCCUGAUGCAGCGACGCCGCGUGAGUGAAGAAGUAAUUCGUUACGUAAAGCUCUAUCAGCAGGGAAGAAAAUGACGGUACCUGAGUAAGAAGCCCCGGCUAACUAC
This 131-nucleotide ribosomal RNA is filed under the name uncultured bacterium. Its description in RNAcentral is "partial 16S ribosomal RNA". It matches the Rfam family "Bacterial small subunit ribosomal RNA", at positions 356 to 504 of the family's 1533-position model. The record is from RNAcentral.